Molecule: long non-coding RNA, 368 nt
Organism: Brassica oleracea var. oleracea
Lineage: Eukaryota; Viridiplantae; Streptophyta; Magnoliopsida; Brassicales; Brassicaceae
Exons: 2
Source: RefSeq, a predicted model, not a curated record
CAACUUCUUCUUCUCCCUCAUAACCUCUUUCCCUGUCCCUUUGUAAUCAUGAUUCUUCUUUGCCAUCAUUACCUUCUAAAGGAGCCUCUCUCUUUCCUCUCUCGCUCUCUCAAGAAAAUGCAAGACACAAACUUACACAAAUUUUCAUCUAUAUAACACCUCUAUUUAUCUCUUACCCACUAAUCAAACACGCCUCACUUCUUUUAUCUCUCUCUAUAAUCUCUAAAGAUGUGUUUAAGUUCUUCAGAACCAUUCUCACACACACCCACGAGAUUAGUUUUGUACCUCAAAACACAUACCCACGUUCGUAUCCCUCGCCUCUCAAGGAGGAGAAGGAUGUGGCGGGAAGAAAAGGAGAUGGAGAUGAA